AUCAGAAUAGAAAUAAGUAACAAAACUAAGGUCACAGAAGUCAUAAAAGGAUAAAGAAGAAAAUGCAACAAAACCCAAAUUUUGACUAAUACAUAUUUCGAUAGAUCAUGUCAUCAGGACUGAGAACUUAUAUCCAUCAAAAUAGAUAUAAGUAACAAAACUAAGGUCACAGAAGUCAUAAAAGGAUAAAGAAGAAAAUGCAACAAAACCCAAAUUUUGACUAGUACAUAUUUCGAUAGAUCAUGUCAUCAGGACUGAGAACUUAUAUCCAUCAGAAUAGAUAUAAGUAACAAAACUAAGGUCACAGAAGUCAUAAAAGGAUAAAGAAGAAAAUGCAACAAAACCCAAAUUUUGACCAGUACAUAUUUCGAUAGAUCAUGUCAUCAGGACUGAGAACUUGUAUCCAUCAGAAUAGAUAUAAGUAACAAAACUAAGGUCACAGAAGUCAUAAAAGGAUAAAGAAGAAAAUGCAACAAAACCCAAAUUUUGACUAGUACAUAUUUCGAUAGAUCAUGUCAUCAUGGCUCAGUCCUGACUACAUAAAGCGCCAUCAGCAAGAGAUAAAUAGCUGGUGCAUGAGUCC
Molecule: long non-coding RNA, 583 nt
Filed under: Daucus carota (carrot)
Lineage: Eukaryota; Viridiplantae; Streptophyta; Magnoliopsida; Apiales; Apiaceae
Description: long non-coding RNA (DCAR_LNC001543)
Source: RNAcentral